AACGAACGCUGGCGGCAGGCUUAACACAUGCAAGUCGAACGCCCCGCACGGGGUGUGGCGGACGGGUGAGUAACGCGUGGGAACAUACCCUUUUCUAAGGAAUAGCUCUGGGAAACUGGACUUAAUACCGUAUACGCCAUACGGGGGAAAGAUUUAUCGGGGAAGGAUUGGCCCGCGUUGGAUUAGCUAGUUGGGGGGGUAAAGGCCUACCAAGGCGACGAUCCAUAGCUGGUCUGAGAGGAUGAUCAGCCACAUUGGGACUGAGACACGGCCCAAACUCCUACGGGAGGCAGCAGUGGGGAAUAUUGGACAAUGGGCGCAAGCCUGAUCCAGCCAUGCCGCGUGAGUGAUGAAGGCCUUAGGGUUGUAAAGCUCUUUCACCGAUGAAGAUAAUGACGGUAGUCGGAGAAGAAGCCCCGGCUAACUUCGUG
Molecule: ribosomal RNA, 431 nt
Filed under: uncultured bacterium
Lineage: Bacteria
Description: partial 16S ribosomal RNA
Rfam family: Bacterial small subunit ribosomal RNA
Source: RNAcentral